CAGGAAUCUAGUGUUCAUUAGCAGCAGCUAGAGGCCCUGGUGUGCCCAUUCUCAUUCUCUCUGUGUCUUAAAUAAGUCAAUAAAUAAAUGAAUGGAGGGGAAGAGGGAGAGGCAGGUAGCUCCUGGGGCCUUGUUCUCUCUAGCAGCAAGUUCUGCCCAGGCCAGGCAUGCUUUGGAGGCGGGGUGGAAGGGGGGUCUUGGUGGAGGUUCCCUCCUGUGUGUGGUUGGCUCUUCUGUCUUCCAGGACCACCCCGUCAUGAGGUCCAGUGUAGAAGGAGCUAUGAGCCUAGGCCCGAGUACUGUCAGAUAUCUCCCAGGCGAUGCUGAGGUUCCAGAGGCCAUUGCCAGAGACAUGGCCCUAUCUUUUUAGAGUUUCACGUGAAAAAACACAUCGUUGCACCUUAGCAAGGACAUGGGACCUCUGGAUUCUGGCCACAGGGACCCCGAGGAACAGCCUUUCCCGGAAGACAGCGUCCUUCCCCACACCUGGGAUGGAGUCCCCGUGGAGAAGAGCGGCUCUGAAGAUGUGCCAUGGAAGACCUGCCCUGGCUUUGAUAGACAGCUCGAGGUGGGAGAGGCCCUAGCCCAGCGCCGGGUCUCUACCUGCCCGGGGAACGGAGGCCCCUUCCUGACCCUGUGUGGACUCAAAUCCUCCUGCAGUCCUUGCCACAGUUGGGAGCUGUGUGUGGGCACAGGCCUCCCCAGCGUGGGGUCUCAAUGGACCUGCCUGGCAUGGGCAGGGACACCAGCGGGCAUUGGGAGGGGGCGGGCCUUCGCCUCUGAGCCUGCAGUCUAUCUCCGCUUUUCCUCCGUCUUUUCACCGCGUGAGUGAUCUGCCAGUUGGGGUGUUCCGUGGCUGAGGCUUCUCCCCGCCUACUGGUUCUGGGGGAGAGGGAAGCCGCCUGAGAAGACAGAAGAGAGGGCUUUGAGAAGGGGAUGCUCCGGAGGUGAGGGGUCCCCACAGACACCCAUCUGCAGCUCAGAUGUCCUCUAGCCACAGAGAGAACGGGCCUCAUCCAGCCGGCUGGAGUCCCAGAGCCUCCCUAGGACACGGGGCUGCCCAGUUAGAACCCAGCUCCCUGUAGCGUGGCUACCAAGGGGCGCAGAGACUGGCAGACAGGCCCAGGGCCCUUCUCUCUAGGCACAGUUCCUCCAGAGGCCCGCUGGCCAUUCUCCAACUCCAAUCACAGUUGCCUCCCGAAGAGAGGGUCGCAGCUUCUGAGACAGGGCACGGUGUGGCCUUCCUCAGGCCACUUGAGAAACCGGGGAAGUCUUUCUCCCCAGGGUUGGAGGGUCGUGUACUUAAUCAGCUCAGCAUCAGACAUUCCUAUUCUCACCCUGCUAGGGGCUCGGAAGUCCAGGUGCCAGGGGUGGCUUUGGCUCACCCUCUGCAGGUGGUGUAGCUUGUCUUCAGGUCACCUCUCUUGGCGGUGGGAGAGAGAAGGCUCUGGGAUCUCAAGCAAGAAGGACGGCAGCCCAGUCGCGUCAGAGCCCAUACUUGUGACCUCGCUUAAGCUCUGUCCUACCCUUAAUGGGUCGUGUUGCUGACGCAGUCACACAGGAGGCCGGAAAUCAGCCUGUGUUUUGGGGGGUGGGGGUGGGAUGUCGCACAACCUGGUCUUGAAUGAUGGUCCUAUAUAAACAUGGUCGUCUGAGGCCAUCUUCUCUCCCCUUCAGAAUCCUCCCACAGGGGCGAGAGGGGCAGAUGAAUGGAAGUGAGUUCAUGACUGCGGGGCUGUGCAUGGGUGGGCUGAGUUACCCCGGAGACCCAGAGAAGCCGUAGUCAGCACUGAGCCAAGUCCCUGAGAGCCUGAAGCCUAUAGGGUCUUGGGGAUGCCCUCUGUUGUACAGCCUUGGGCGAGACUCGCCUCUUCCAGCCUUGACUUCCCACUCUGAAAUGGGAGCCCAGUGUGGUGCUUCUGGUGGUACAGGCAGCGUCUGUGAGGUCACGUGCCUGGCCGAGUGCUUAGCAGAUGCUCAGUAAAGUCCCCUCCACCUCGGGGUUCAGGCUGGGGGUGGAUCUAUCUUGGGCACGCCGGAGUAUAAACGCUGGCAUCUUCUGAUCCAAGGGCGUUCAUGGCAAGCCCAUUCCCUGCCCGCAAGCAUGGGACAGUGGCCACAUUGUGUAGCUCACCACGUUUCCGGGGGUACCUGAGUCUCUACCUUUGAGUACCCUCUUCUGGGCUCUUUCCCACAGCAGCUACUUUGGGGGGGUACAGGUGUGCAAGGCCAGCCUUGUUUCCAGUCCUUACACGUCGUAGGCAGGUGGGAGAAAACCAGCUGUCACGGAGAGUUCCAGGAUGGGUGGCAUAAUAGCAUAAAAGCAAUUAGCUACAACCAGGCUCUGCGUGCUUGGGGGCCUGACGGGGAGAUCCUAGCACGAGGGCUGCCCAGCGAGGCUGACCCGCACGGGCUCGGGGGACGAGAACCUCGCAGUUUAGCUGACAGUUUGUAGGGAAUAUUCCAGGGAAACCCCUCAUUGUACGAUCCAUACGUUUCUUUAGCGCAGGACUUAUCAGAGCCUUUCAAGGGCCACCGAGGACGUGAAACACGCAGGGACAGGGUAGGAUGGAGGGUUCCUGUCUCGUUCUGGCCAUGGAACCGUUUUCUCGCUGAGCGUCAUGGAGAACUGUGGGAGAUGCCAGGCUGGGAAUUCGGGGUGUGGCUGGUAAUAGGAGAUACUGUGACUAGUGUACGGAGAGGCAUAAAGAAAGCAGACCAGGAGGCCCUGGAGAGUUCCAACUCGGUCCCGAGGGCCAGGCCAGCACCGUAUAGCUUUUGUAGAGGCAGGGGAAGGUGGAUCAGUGGUGAGAGCAGCCUGACAGUUGGUGACAAAAGAGAGACGUCCAUGGUGUUCCUGGCGAUCAGCUGUUUCAUGGAAGGAUGCUGGAGUGUGUGCUUGUGUACUCUGUGUGUGUGUGUGCAUGUGUGUGUGCGUGUGUGUGGUGUGUAUAUAGAAUGAAUAGACACAGCCCUCUGGGAAGGGGCCGACCAGAACCAGGCAGGGGGUUUCCACCCUGGAUAGAAAGGUCCAUUGGGAUGUACUUGCCCAGGGCAGGGCUCCAAGACCCACCGUGGAGAAACAGGGAAGCCCUUGCUUCCAGGCGGGGCCCAGGAGAUCAGGCUUGAUCCUGGGGGCGGGUGUUAAGGGGGUAUAGUUGCAGACCCCCUGCCCUGGUCGGGCCCCAUGCCUGGGUUGGUAGAGGCAGGAGGCCUCUGCAGCUGCCGCUGGGGCUGGGGUGGGGGUACCGGCCGGGAGGGCUGCAUGGUGUGAUUAACCUACUAACCCUAACCCAGGGCUCGGUCAGGACGCUGUGACCCGGGAUGAGGUGCUUGGCCUUCUGCAGAUCGACUAACCCACUAACCAGGCCCGGAGCAUGCCCGUACUAACCCCGCAGCAGCCAGAUCCUACUAACCGCGCAGCUCGAGGGUCUCGCCAGAGGCCUGGACAUGGGAGCGGACGGGGGCUCCGACGGAAGGCCCUUCCUGAGGGGCUGGGGUCUUUGUGCAGACCCACCGUGCAGGACGGGGCAUGGCCCGUGAGACUCGACAACCCUGCCACUUGUGAGCAAGGUGCCUUGCCUUCUCUGAACCCGUUUCCUCGCUGGUAGAAUGAGAGUCCUGUUACUCUCCCCAACUGGCUGCAGUCCCACCCAUUUAAAGUCCUUGACAUACAAGGAGAAAGGGUGUGUACAGGGGUGGGGGGGGGGAGGAUGGUCCCUCGGGAACCUUGGGUGACUCGGGCACCCCCUGUUCUCUGGGUGUUCUGCACAGAGACCUUUCUGCCUGGGGCAGACACUUGCUUUGAACCCUUAACCGUCUUUUCCCAGUGCUUCCUUCUCUAGCUUAUUUUUUUCUGCCGGCAGCUUUUUAGUUCUAUUACUAACUUGUCUAACCCGGGGUGGGUUGGGGAGCGCCUGCUCUGCGUCCUGUCGUCCCUUAACAAACUGACGGCCCUGCGUGCCUUCUUCCUUCUCUCCUAGUGACUCCCGUGUGUGUCCGCUGAGGUGUCCCUUGUCUGCUGGUUAUCCGUGCUCUCACUUUACUAACUCAGCCCUUACUAACCAUUUUCUCUUCUUACUAACCCAGCCCUGCCGAGCUCUGGGCCCCCCGGGGGCUGGUCCUCUCCUUCUGGCAAACAGAUAUCGCAGGGCUGCCCUGGCCAGGUCUGAGGCAGGGGACUGCCCCAUUAAUUCAUGAUGCUCAGAGGAGGAGGCGGUCCUGUCGAUGUGUGGGGGCGCUGGACUCCGAGCAUGACCUCUCUCCUUUGUGCAGAAAAUCUGGU
This is a long non-coding RNA of Jaculus jaculus (lesser Egyptian jerboa), 4285 nucleotides long. RefSeq lists it as uncharacterized. The transcript is spliced from 3 exons. Lineage: Eukaryota; Metazoa; Chordata; Mammalia; Rodentia; Dipodidae. The record is from RefSeq and is a predicted model, not a curated record.